This is an RNA transcript of Brassica napus (rape), 1506 nucleotides long. RefSeq lists it as uncharacterized. The record is from RefSeq and is a predicted model, not a curated record. Lineage: Eukaryota; Viridiplantae; Streptophyta; Magnoliopsida; Brassicales; Brassicaceae. The transcript is spliced from 3 exons.
AGCACCGCUACUUGUGGAACACGUGUUGUAUCUUGGAGAUACCUCUCUCUCUCUCUUGACAAAAUCAUUCUGCCUCUCUCUCUUCUUCUCUUCCGAUGAAACCUUCAUCAAGACGAAGAUCAAAGCAACAAAGCAAUAAAUACGCAUUUUUCCUUCUCGUCGUUAGAUAUUUUUGAUUUUUGUUCUGAACCAAAACGAGAGACAAAGAGAUACCACAUAAGACGCGAAAAGGAGACAAAGAUUCGUACAAGCACACUGAACGGAUCAAAAAAAUCGAUUCGAUUCAUCUCCGCAAAAGAAACAUAUUUGAUUCUGAGUUCUCAUCCCCAAUAGAUUGUGGUGUUUCUGGGAAAACAUCAAAUGGCGGUUUAUGAUCAUAGUGAAAACAUUAUGUUCAGGCUUCUCACUCAAUCGUUUCUCUGCAGUGCUAACAACGAUGAGGAGGUUCCUCUCCAAACUCACUCCCAGGCAAAUGGCUUUCACGAAUUCGAACUCUUUCUUGGUAAAUCUCAGUACCAAGAAACAUCACUACUACAAUCAAUGCAGCUCAAGUUGAUCAGACAAACCUGAAAGCUCAGUUUCGUCUUCCCAUUGCAUACCAUGGAAGGGCAUCAUCUAUUGUCAUCUCAGGGACUGACAUUAUUCGACCAAGGUUAGGUCAGUUUCUUCCUUUGGUUUGUUUUGAGUUUGGAUUCUUCUUUUAGUUUGUUUUGAGUUUGGAUAAUCCUUCCAUUAUAAUAGAAUAAGGUUCAAGAAGAUGUUGACAAAAAAAAAAGGUCCAAGAAGUUAGAUUAUUUAGUCGUUUGAUGAUUGUGUUUUGAAACAUGCAUGUGAAUAAAAAAUCCUGAGGUUAUUCGAUAACAUUCAUAUGAUUGAUUGAGUUUCAUAAGUUAGCUUCCUUUUCAUCAUAAUGUUUCAUAAUUUAUUUUUUAAGAACCUCAAAAUAAACAACUUGCAUUGGAAAACAAUAAUUUAUAGAUUUUUUAAAUUAAGUGCUAACAUCUAUUUAUUAUUAAAAAGUGAUUAAGCAUUUCAUUAGGGAUGGUAGGGUUAAUGGUGCUCUGAUUAUGUAUUAACUUUUACUCGAAAUUUUAGCAAUGAACAUUUUUUUUGUUAGCUAAAAUUUGGUUGAACAUAUCUUAUUACGCAAUCAAAAACAAGAAAUUAAAGUUGGUCUGCUGUCAUUUCAUCAUAAAUUGGUAUCCGAAUUUUCUUGGACAUGUGGUCCGUAAUCUGUCAUGUUUAAACUAACUGAUGAUUAUAUUUGUGGCGGCUUUAGUUUAAGUCAUCUCUCUCAAAAUAUUUGUUUUUCCUAAUUUUAAAUCAAUAAUUUUCAUAUUUUCAAGAAGAAAAAAGUUUAUAAGUUAGUUAUUAUACAUUCGCAAGAGUGGAUAUACAUUUAAGACAACAUUUUAGUAUUGUGUACACAUAAUACGUACUCUUAUACACUUGUUGAUGGUUCUUAUUAUUAUAUAUUAUCACUGAUGCCAUUUUCUUUUUUCGAAA